UACGUACCGUCCAAACGUUAUUCGGUAUCACUGGGCUUAAAGCGUUCGUAGGCGGCUUGGAAGGUGAGAUGUGAAAGCCCACGGCUCAACCGUGGAAUUGCGUUUCAAACCACCAGGCUUGAGGAAGAUAGGGGUGAUGGGAACUUAUGGUGGAGCGGUGAAAUGCGUUGAUAUCAUAGGGAACACCGGUGGCGAAAGCGCAUCACUGGAUCUUUUCUGACGCUGAGGAACGAAAGCUAGGGUAGCGAACGGG
This 253-nucleotide ribosomal RNA is filed under the name uncultured bacterium. RNAcentral describes it as "partial 16S ribosomal RNA". It matches the Rfam family "Bacterial small subunit ribosomal RNA", at positions 524 to 776 of the family's 1533-position model. The record is from RNAcentral.